RNAcentral lists this unclassified non-coding RNA (654 nucleotides) under Peterozyma toletana. RNAcentral's name for it is "sequence contains ITS1, 5.8S rRNA gene and ITS2". The stretch from base 265 to 418 matches the Rfam family "5.8S ribosomal RNA". Lineage: Eukaryota; Fungi; Ascomycota; Pichiomycetes; Alaninales; Pachysolenaceae. The record is from RNAcentral.
UCUUUUCCGUUGAGGGGNACUGCGGAAGGAUCAUUACAGUAUUCUAUUGCCAGCGCUUAAUUGCGCGGCGAUAAACCUUACACACUUUGUUUUUUAUUAUUAAAGACACCAUUGCUUUGGUGAGCUAGUGUAAAAGCUGUUCGCCAGAGGUUUACAACAAAACUCUAUGUUUUUCUUUCCUUACGGAAUUUGAAACUAUUUUACUUUAAAAUUUAAAUUGUCAUUAAAAUUUGUCUAGUUAAUUCUAGAAAUACAAAUAUUUAAAACUUUCAACAACGGAUCUCUUGGUUCUCGCAUCGAUGAAGAACGCAGCGAAUUGCGAUAAGUAUUGUGAAUUGCAGAAUUUCGUGAAUCAUCGAAUCUUUGAACGCACAUUGCACCCUCUGGUAUUCCAGAGGGUAUGCCUGUUUGAGCGUCAUUUCUCUCUCAAAGUUUAUAAUUUUGGUGUUGAGUGAUACUCAAGGUUGUUACAACAAUGGGUUUGCUUGAAAAGUAUUGGCAGGAGGGAGUUACUUUUUCAAAGUGCUUACUGUUUAUCUCAAUGUAUUAGGUCUAACCAACUCGUUGAUAUUUAGGCAGUAAGUGCAAGUUUCUCAGCUCGGCCUUACAAUAGCUUACACAAAGUUGACCUCAAAUCAGGUAGGAUCCCCAUUC